CGCAAUGGGCGAAAGCCUGACGGAGCAAUGCCGCGUGAAGGAUGAAGGCCUGUGGGUUGUAAACUUCUUUUCUCAGAGAAGAAAUUUUGACGGUAUUUGAGGAAUAAGCAUCGGCUAACUCUGUGCCAGCAGCCGCGGUAAGACAGAGGAUGCAAGCGUUAUCCGGAAUGAUUGGGGGUAAAGCGUCUGUAGGUGGCUUGACAAGUCUCCUGUCAAAGAUCAGGGUUUAACCCUGGGCCGGCAGGUGAAACUAUCAGGCUAGAGUUCGGUAGGGGCAGAGGGAAUUCCCGGUGGAGCGGGGAAAAGAGUAGAUAUCGGGAGGAACACCAACGGCGAAAGCAAUCUGAAGGACCGAUGUAUGAUGUACCUCGGUACAACAUA
This 381-nucleotide ribosomal RNA is filed under the name uncultured organism. RNAcentral's name for it is "bacterial SSU rRNA". It matches the Rfam family "Bacterial small subunit ribosomal RNA", at positions 367 to 760 of the family's 1533-position model. The record is from RNAcentral.